GGCGUGCCUAAUACAUGCAAGUCGAGCGCAGGAAACUGACGGAACUCUUCGGAGGGAAGGCAGCGGAAUGAGCGGCGGACGGGUGAGUAACACGUAAGGAACCUGCCUCAAGGAUUGGGAUAACUCCGAGAAAUCGGAGCUAAUACCGGAUAGUUCAUCGGACCGCAUGGUCCGUUGAUGAAAGGCGCUUCGGCGUCACCUUGAGAUGGCCUUGCGGUGCAUUAGCUAGUUGGUGGGGUAACGGCCCACCAAGGCGACGAUGCAUAGCCGACCUGAGAGGGUGAUCGGCCACACUGGGACUGAGACACGGCCCAGACUCCUACGGGAGGCAGCAGUAGGGAAUCUUCCACAAUGGACGAAAGUCUGAUGGAGCAACGCCGCGUGAGUGAUGAAGGUUUUCGGAUCGUAAAACUCUGUUGUAAGGGAAGAACACGUACGAGAGGAAAUGCUCGUACCUUGACGGUACCUUACGAGAAAGCCACGGCUAACUACGUGCCAGCAGCCGCGGUAAUACGUAGGUGGCAAGCGUUGUCCGGAAUUAUUGGGCGUAAAGCGCGCGCAGGCGGCCUUUUAAGUCUGAUGUGAAAGCCCCCGGCUCAACCGGGGAGGGCCAUUGGAAACUGGAAGGCUUGAGUACAGAAGAGAAGAGUGGAAUUCCACGUGUAGCGGUGAAAUGCGUAGAGAUGUGGAGGAACACCAGUGGCGAAGGCGACUCUUUGGUCUGUAACUGACGCUGAGGCGCGAAAGCGUGGGGAGCAAACAGGAUUAGAUACCCUGGUAGUCCACGCCGUAAACGAUGAGUGCUAGGUGUUGGGGGGUUUCCGCCCCUCAGUGCUGAAGCUAACGCAUUAAGCACUCCGCCUGGGGAGUACGGCCGCAAGGCUGAAACUCAAAGGAAUUGACG
This 904-nucleotide ribosomal RNA is filed under the name uncultured bacterium. Its description in RNAcentral is "bacterial SSU rRNA". It matches the Rfam family "Bacterial small subunit ribosomal RNA", at positions 41 to 915 of the family's 1533-position model. The record is from RNAcentral.